AUGGAAACUUUGGUUUUUUGGCAGCAACCAAAACAUAACAGUAGCAGCAUUUUGGACAAUGACAAGGCAGUAGGACCUGGUUUCCUUGUGGACAGAUUGUGCAGGCUGGUUGGACUGAUAUGGUGCAGAUUCACAGCACUGGACAAUAUGACACUUUUCAGGAUUUCGUGGGUGUUUGUGGGCAGCAAGAUAGCAUUGGCAUGGAAUGAUUUUUCGAGUGUUUUGCUUGGAGCUUUGUUAAUGUUUUCUUCUUGA
Vicia faba (fava bean) is the source of this 255-nucleotide non-coding RNA. Lineage: Eukaryota; Viridiplantae; Streptophyta; Magnoliopsida; Fabales; Fabaceae. The record is from the annotation of a GenBank genome assembly.